UCCGGUUUGUCACCGGCAGUCUCAUUAGAGUGCCCAACUGAAUGUAGCAACUAAUGACAAGGGUUGCGCUCGUUGCGGGACUUAACCCAACAUCUCACGACACGAGCUGACGACAGCCAUGCACCACCUGUGAUCCUGCCCCGAAGGGAAACCCUGUUUCCAGGGCGGUCAGGAACAUGUCAAGCCCAGGUAAGGUUCUUCGCGUUGCCUCGAAUUAAUCCACAUCAUCCACCGCUUGUGCGGGUCCCCGUCAAUUCCUUUGAGUUUUAGCCUUGCGGCCGUACUCCCCAGGCGGGGCGCUUAAUGCGUUAGCUACGGCACGGAUCCCGUGGAAGGAAACCCACACCUAGCGCCCAACGUUUACGGUGUGGACUAC
RNAcentral lists this unclassified non-coding RNA (376 nucleotides) under uncultured Actinomycetes bacterium. RNAcentral's name for it is "uncultured actinobacterium contains 16S-23S intergenic spacer region". The record is from RNAcentral. Lineage: Bacteria; Bacillati; Actinomycetota; Actinomycetes.